CCUGUUUAACAAAAACAUGUCUUUUUGAGUUAUUUUUAAAGUCUGACCUGCCCACUGAAAUUUUUAAAUGGCCGCAGUAUUCUAACUGUGCAAAGGUAGCAUAAUCAUUAGUCUUUUAAUUGAAGGCUGGUAUGAACGGUUGGACGAAGUACAAGCUGUUUCAUAUAAAUUUAUAAUAGAAUUUUAUAUUUUAGUUAAAAAGCUAAAAUGUAAUUAAAAGACGAGAAGACCCUAUAAAUCUUUAUAUUUUAUUUUAUUUAAAUUUUUUGGAUUUGGUUUAUUUUUAUAUAAUAAAAUAUUUUGUUGGGGUGAUAUUAAAAUUUAAUGAACUUUUAGUUUUUUAAAAUCAUUAAUUUAUGAAUUAUUGAUCCAUUAAUAGUGAUUAUAAGAUUAAGUUACUUUAGGGAUAACAGCGUAAUUUUUUUGGAGAGUUCAUAUCGAUAAAAAAGUUUGCGACCUCGAUGUUGGAUUAAGAUAUAAUUUUAGGUGUAGUCGCUUAAAU
This 502-nucleotide ribosomal RNA is filed under the name Zeugodacus fulvifacies. RNAcentral describes it as "partial large subunit ribosomal RNA". It matches the Rfam family "Bacterial large subunit ribosomal RNA", at positions 1799 to 2568 of the family's 2925-position model. The record is from RNAcentral. Lineage: Eukaryota; Metazoa; Arthropoda; Insecta; Diptera; Tephritidae.